Molecule: non-coding RNA, 534 nt
Organism: Microcebus murinus (gray mouse lemur)
Lineage: Eukaryota; Metazoa; Chordata; Mammalia; Primates; Cheirogaleidae
Source: RefSeq, a predicted model, not a curated record
ACACAGGACUUGAGAGAUACUUGGUGGAGCCAGAAAAGCUUAUGGAAAGCAAGAAUAUUUGUUUAAGUUGAAAUCAAGACCUUCCUUCUCCUUGAUAGAGGCUCCCAGAUAUAAGGUAUUGGGGGCUAUCUCACCAGAGAGCAUACUAAAGGGAAGAUGGGGCCAGUGAAAGAAUGGAUCAUCUGUUGCAAAAUAUCUGGGAAUCCCUGCCUGCAACUCAGCACUUCCAGCGUUGGUUGGAGCCAGUGCUGCGUUUGGCAGGGCAGAGUGGCAGGAAGUGCCCCACGGUCCUGGGGCAGUGCUGUGCCACUGCACCGACACCUGAAGCCCGAGCUGCCGCUGCACCUUGAGUUCCGUGAGCCGGUGCCUUCCCUGGAUGUCUCCUAGUACUUGCGUCCAAAGCGUGCUUGCUGCUGCGCCGACCCAGACUCUGAAGAGGCUCUCAGAUGCACUGUUGGCCUAAAGAAACUUUUAAAAAGACUUAACUUUUUUAGAGCAGUUUUAGGUUCACAGCGAAAUUAAGAGGAAGAUACA